Mustela erminea (ermine) is the source of this 3557-nucleotide RNA transcript. RefSeq lists it as uncharacterized. The transcript has 4 exons. Lineage: Eukaryota; Metazoa; Chordata; Mammalia; Carnivora; Mustelidae. The record is from RefSeq and is a predicted model, not a curated record.
CAGGUGGCAGCAGUUCCUGGGGAUAGCUAGGCAGGCUGUGGGUCGGGCUCUGCAGAAGGCUGGGGACUCCCGUCUUCCUGGGUGCGGCAGGUGGUGCAGAUGAGCGGGGCUGGGGCCUGCCAGCUCCAGCUGUCCCAGUGUCAAGGUCGCGGCCUGGUCUCCCCACUUCGGGGUUGUGCGCCUAGGCUCCGCAGACCGCCCUGCCAGGAGGAAGCGUCCCACCUGGGGCGGAGGGGAGACAGCAGAGCCGAGGGGCAGGGACAUCUUUUUGAGUCUGUUGGACCGGGAUCUCCCAGAGAAGGCCCAGAGGAGAAGCAUCCCUGAAAGCUGGCAAGCUCUGGGGCCCCCUUGACCCAUGUGGAUGGGGGUUGACUUGGCCAGUAUCAGCAACAGAAGACAUGGCGCCGGAGGUGGUGAGCUGCCUGUGUCUGGUGCUUUUGGAGCCUCAGGACUUUUAUAUCCUUUCCAGCUCAUUCCAGAAUCCAUAUAUUUCAUAAGCAGCUUCCCUGAGCUCUGCCCCAGGAGUAGGAGGCAUGGCAGAAGGGGUCUAGAGAGGAGUAAGGCCCCACCCCUGUCCAACGGGGCCCGUUCAGCAGAGCAGAAAGAACAUGUCUUUGGUGGCUGCCCAUGUUGGGGGUAUGAUCAGAGGGAGAGGUAAGAAGAGCUUGGAGGGCCUAAAUGCCAGAAAAAAGGAACUUUGGACUUUCUCCCACAGAAUCCAGGGGCAGAGGCCCCCAAUUACGUGUCACCACCCACAGACUUCUUCCCACACAGACUUAGACCCCCCCCCCCCGCCCACGGAUUCAUGGCACGCUGUGUGAUCUGGGAGGGUUGCUUAACCUCUCUGAGCUGUAUUUUCUCCCCUUCCCUUCUGUAGCAAGCCCAGUGCUCACUACUGAGGACAGCAAAGGAGGUACGAUCUAGGUUUGGCUAAUCCGAGUGCCCCAUCCUGGUGCUGUGGUUGGUUCGGAGGCGGGCACACGAUCCCUGUGGCCAGAGUCUUUUCUGCUGGACGGGCUUUGGAAUCUUCACCACCACAGCCUUUCUUUGGUUUUUGAGCCGUAAAACCUGUAUUGGCUUUAGCUGGUUUGCAUUUUCACUGUCCUGCAAUUGGGAGAGUCACGAGCAGAUCAGAAAUAAUGAAGUGUUCCCCGAGGGGCGGGUUGAGUGACAUGGUGUGUGGAGUGCCAUUCCUUAUGGGCAGGGGAGAGAGCUAAGGCUGAGAGCCAAAGAGAUCUCAGGGACCCCCUCUCUGCAGUUCCUCUCUGAGUGACCCUGGAAAGGUCACCAUCCCUUUCCAAGGCUUUGUUUCCUUGGGCAUAAAAUGGGUCUCUGCCCCACCCCUUCACCCCUCCUCUCUCUCAGGCUCCCUUUACUCCUUCUUGUCCUCCAGGCUUCAGACUUUCUCUCCUACCCACUCCCCACAGGAAGGCCUGGUAGCCUUAAGCCCAAAUGUGACUGUGAGCCUCCCUGGACCAAGCCCCGAGUCCUUGAACCACUUUCUGGGUCAUGCCCGGCCCUCAGCUUCUGUCUCGCUGCCCAACAUCCCCAGGUGCCGGGCGAACUGUGUUCUCUCGGGUCUCCUGACCCUGCACGCAGGCCUGGAGUAGAGGCGUGGGGGUGCCCUCUCUCCUGCCGUGUGUGUCGCUGGUGAACCUCACCUUCUGUGCGCUAAGGUCCUGAACCUACAGGUGGUUGCAUGAGCCCCCCACUGUCCCAGAUGCCUGCGGAAGCCAGUGUUGCACCCCAGGCUGCCUCCCAGAGAGGGCCAGACCUAGGGAGACGUGAUUUGUGGUCAUGGUCAAUGCUGGUCUAAGGAAGCCCCAUUCAGGUUCUUAACCCAGCCCCCCAGGAGCUCUCGCCGGCCAUCCCUGGAGGCUUUGCUCCCACCAGGGUGACAGGAUCAGUCUCUGGGGUGGGGCCGCCGUCCCCCACUGGGGCUGCUUGUAUCUCUUUCUGCCCUUCCCAGGAACCCAGACCCAGAGCCGGGGACGGUGGGACACCUGGCCCCAAGGGUGGCGGAGAGCCCCGAGAGGGACCAGGACAAUAAAGAGACACAGAGCUGUGACAUCAUUUUCAAAUCAUCGUGGCCAUCAAGAAAGACUCCACGUUGUGUCCUGACAGAGGGAGCAGGACAGCUGUGCCCUGAGAAGGCAAGAGCUCAUAGCAGGGCUUGGUGUCCACGGGAGGUGCUGGGAGCUGCGACCCCAAAGGUGAGAGGAUGACGGGCCCAAAGGGCAAGUUUGGCCGGAGGUCCGGAAGCAGGAAGGACGUCACGUUUUGAGGACAGGAAGCCAAGCCACCGAGCCAGGGAGCUCUGAGAAGGGGUGCGUUGUGGGGGCCAAGGCAGGCUCUGGGACUUGGGAACCACGAGUGACACAUCUACAUUGGAUGUCAAGCCAUCUGGCCUCCAGAUGUUUUCUGAUCAUUAAAAAAUUUGAGUCCCAGGCAAGUGGGCCCAUGGACAUGGCCGUGGUGGGCUGCUGGGCUCCCCCAGACGGGCUGACCUGCCUGGGGUCUCUCAGUCCUGCCCAGCCCCUGUCACCCAGGGACACUUGCCCUGUUGUUAAAGGGACAGGAAGUGACUAGGGAAUGGGGGAGAGCCAGGCCAGGUGGGUUUUCCCAGGCCCUGGACUCCCUAGGGUGUUGAUCAGGGGAACAGACCUGGAUGCAAAGCCUGCUGGUCCUCCACGGCCUGAGGCAGUGAGCAGCCUGGGUCUGAUCGGGGGAGGUGGAGUAUGGGGUGGCUACGAGCAUUGUUUCUGGAGUCAGACAGACCUAGGUUCAAAUUCUGACUCUCCCACAUACUGACCGGAUGGCACAACUGGGUCUCCCAGAGCUUCCGUCUCCCCAUCUGUAACUGGGAAUACUGACACUGCCUGUCUCCUCAUAGGGUUGUUGGAAAGACUAAAAUUAGAGAACAUGCGUGAAGUACUUGGCUCAGCACAUAGUAAAUGCUCAAUACAUACGUUUUAACUGCUAUUAUUAUAGCUCUUGGAAACAAUAGUCAAUAUUUUACUUCCAGACCUUUGCAAAUGCUGUUUUCUCCUCUCAGAAUGUCCUGGUCCAGUCAGUUUACGCAGUGCCCAGGUCAGGGUCUUAUCUUGGAAGUGUCUCCAGGCUCAGCCUGGCGCCCAGCUGACUAGAUUCAGCCCUUCGUGGGCCAACAUCUCCACAGCAGUCGCUCACCAGUGGCUGCUUCUCCUCUCCUAGACUGGCCACCAGCGGUGCUGGGUCUGACUUUUCUGUGUCUCCAGGACCCAGCCAGAGGCCCCAGAACCCCCACACCAUGCUUUCUGGCUCCUAACCUGAAUUCAGGUCUUGUUCCCCUUAGACGAGCAGGGCCUGGGCAGGGCCCAGCGCUGGGUGUGGGAUGAAGGCGCCAUGCAGCUAGGAGAGCAGGAUCCCUGCUGGCCUGGCCCGGGCCAGGUGUGAGGAAGCAGGUCGGGAGGCCCAAGGGGGGCUGAGGUCCCUGUGGUGGAGGCGAUGGAAGUUGAGCCCACGUGACCGAGGCGGCAGCCAUCUUUGCCUACGCCGUUCCUUGAACACUAAUACAG